GGGUUGUGAGGUUAAGCGACUAAGCGUACACGGUGGAUGCCCUGGCAGUCAGAGGCGAUGAAGGACGUGCUAAUCUGCGAUAAGCGUCGGUAAGGUGAUAUGAACCGUUAUAACCGGCGAUUUCCGAAUGGGGAAACCCAGUGUGUUUCGACACACUAUCAUUAACUGAAUCCAUAGGUUAAUGAGGCGAACCGGGGGAACUGAAACAUCUAAGUACCCCGAGGAAAAGAAAUCAACCGAGAUUCCCCCAGUAGCGGCGAGCGAACGGGGAGGAGCCCAGAGCCUGAAUCAGUGUGUGUGUUAGUGGAAGCGUCUGGAAAGGCGCGCGAUACAGGGUGACAGCCCCGUACACAAAAAUGCACAUGCUGUGAGCUCGAUGAGUAGGGCGGGACACGUGGUAUCCUGUCUGAAUAUGGGGGGACCAUCCUCCAAGGCUAAAUACUCCUGACUGACCGAUAGUGAACCAGUACCGUGAGGGAAAGGCGAAAAGAACCCCGGCGAGGGGAGUGAAAAAGAACCUGAAACCGUGUACGUACAAGCAGUGGGAGCCUCUUAAUGGGGUGACUGCGUACCUUUUGUAUAAUGGGUCAGCGACUUAUAUUCUGUAGCAAGGUUAACCGAAUAGGGGAGCCGAAGGGAAACCGAGUCUUAACUGGGCGUUAAGUUGCAGGGUAUAGACCCGAAACCCGGUGAUCUAGCCAUGGGCAGGUUGAAGGUUGGGUAACACUAACUGGAGGACCGAACCGACUAAUGUUGAAAAAUUAGCGGAUGACUUGUGGCUGGGGGUGAAAGGCCAAUCAAACCGGGAGAUAGCUGGUUCUCCCCGAAAGCUAUUUAGGUAGCGCCUCGUGAAUUCAUCUCCGGGGGUAGAGCACUGUUUCGGCAAGGGGGUCAUCCCGACUUACCAACCCGAUGCAAACUGCGAAUACCGGAGAAUGUUAUCACGGGAGACACACGGCGGGUGCUAACGUCCGUCGUGAAGAGGGAAACAACCCAGACCGCCAGCUAAGGUCCCAAAGUCAUGGUUAAGUGGGAAACGAUGUGGGAAGGCCCAGACAGCCAGGAUGUUGGCUUAGAAGCAGCCAUCAUUUAAAGAAAGCGUAAUAGCUCACUGGUCGAGUCGGCCUGCGCGGAAGAUGUAACGGGGCUAAACCAUGCACCGAAGCUGCGGCAGCGACACUAUGUGUUGUUGGGUAGGGGAGCGUUCUGUAAGCCUGUGAAGGUGUACUGUGAGGUAUGCUGGAGGUAUCAGAAGUGCGAAUGCUGACAUAAGUAACGAUAAAGCGGGUGAAAAGCCCGCUCGCCGGAAGACCAAGGGUUCCUGUCCAACGUUAAUCGGGGCAGGGUGAGUCGACCCCUAAGGCGAGGCCGAAAGGCGUAGUCGAUGGGAAACAGGUUAAUAUUCCUGUACUUGGUGUUACUGCGAAGGGGGGACGGAGAAGGCUAUGUUGGCCGGGCGACGGUUGUCCCGGUUUAAGCGUGUAGGCUGGUUUUCCAGGCAAAUCCGGAAAAUCAAGGCUGAGGCGUGAUGACGAGGCACUACGGUGCUGAAGCAACAAAUGCCCUGCUUCCAGGAAAAGCCUCUAAGCAUCAGGUAACAUCAAAUCGUACCCCAAACCGACACAGGUGGUCAGGUAGAGAAUACCAAGGCGCUUGAGAGAACUCGGGUGAAGGAACUAGGCAAAAUGGUGCCGUAACUUCGGGAGAAGGCACGCUGAUAUGUAGGUGAAGUCCCUUGCGGAUGGAGCUGAAAUCAGUCGAAGAUACCAGCUGGCUGCAACUGUUUAUUAAAAACACAGCACUGUGCAAACACGAAAGUGGACGUAUACGGUGUGACGCCUGCCCGGUGCCGGAAGGUUAAUUGAUGGGGUUAGCGGUAACGCGAAGCUCUUGAUCGAAGCCCCGGUAAACGGCGGCCGUAACUAUAACGGUCCUAAGGUAGCGAAAUUCCUUGUCGGGUAAGUUCCGACCUGCACGAAUGGCGUAAUGAUGGCCAGGCUGUCUCCACCCGAGACUCAGUGAAAUUGAACUCGCUGUGAAGAUGCAGUGUACCCGCGGCAAGACGGAAAGACCCCGUGAACCUUUACUAUAGCUUGACACUGAACAUUGAGCCUUGAUGUGUAGGAUAGGUGGGAGGCUUUGAAGUGUGGACGCCAGUCUGCAUGGAGCCGGCCUUGAAAUACCACCCUUUAAUGUUUGAUGUUCUAACGUUGGCCCCUGAUCGGGGUUGCGGACAGUGUCUGGUGGGUAGUUUGACUGGGGCGGUCUCCUCCUAAAGAGUAACGGAGGAGCACGAAGGUUGGCUAAUCCUGGUCGGACAUCAGGAGGUUAGUGCAAUGGCAUAAGCCAGCUUGACUGCGAGCGUGACGGCGCGAGCAGGUGCGAAAGCAGGUCAUAGUGAUCCGGUGGUUCUGAAUGGAAGGGCCAUCGCUCAACGGAUAAAAGGUACUCCGGGGAUAACAGGCUGAUACCGCCCAAGAGUUCAUAUCGACGGCGGUGUUUGGCACCUCGAUGUCGGCUCAUCACAUCCUGGGGCUGAAGUAGGUCCCAAGGGUAUGGCUGUUCGCCAUUUAAAGUGGUACGCGAGCUGGGUUUAGAACGUCGUGAGACAGUUCGGUCCCUAUCUGCCGUGGGCGCUGGAGAACUGAGGGGGGCUGCUCCUAGUACGAGAGGACCGGAGUGGACGCAUCACUGGUGUUCGGGUUGUCAUGCCAAUGGCACUGCCCGGUAGCUAAAUGCGGAAGAGAUAAGUGCUGAAAGCAUCUAAGCACGAAACUUGCCCCGAGAUGAGUUCUCCCUGACUCCUUGAGAGUCCUGAAGGAACGUUGAAGACGACGACGUUGAUAGGCCGGGUGUGUAAGCGCAGCGAUGCGUUGAGCUAACCGGUACUAAUGAACCGUGAGGCUUAACCUUACAACGCCGAAG
Molecule: ribosomal RNA, 2925 nt
Filed under: Escherichia coli
Lineage: Bacteria; Pseudomonadati; Pseudomonadota; Gammaproteobacteria; Enterobacterales; Enterobacteriaceae
Description: bacterial LSU rRNA
Rfam family: Bacterial large subunit ribosomal RNA
Source: RNAcentral